Ostrinia nubilalis (European corn borer) is the source of this 403-nucleotide long non-coding RNA. RefSeq lists it as uncharacterized. The transcript is spliced from 2 exons. The record is from RefSeq and is a predicted model, not a curated record. NCBI's taxonomy places the organism in Eukaryota, Metazoa, Arthropoda, Insecta, Lepidoptera, Crambidae.
CCGGGCGGAACCAUAAUGAAAGUGUACAGUAUUAUUUUAAUUUCCGUUUUGGCCAUUUUCGCGGAUGCAGGGGACGUCCACUACGAUUUGAGGGACGCUCCAUUUUUGUUCUAUAAAUAUGUGAAGGAGUAUCAGCGGGAAUACAAGGAUACCGAAGAUUUACUUGUACAUUAUGCCAGAUUUGUGUACAAUCUCAGGCAAAUAAACAAACAAAACGAGCUCAGCGAAACAGCGACAUAUGAUAUUAAUCAAUUCGCAGAUUAUACUGAAGAAGAAAUGUAUCCAUUAAUUAAUGGCUUUAAUCCGAAACCACAUGCUGCUAAGGACCGCGUGGUUCCACAAUCCCGAUCUCGCUACCGUGAAUACUGAGAAUUAAAAACCAAAUAAAAUGUUUUAAACUGAA